UCCGUGUUAACCACGGCAGUCUCGCAUGAAAAACAACAUGCGACAAGGGUUGCGCUCGUUACCCCACUGAAGGGAACAUUUCACAACACGAGCUGACGGCAACCGUGCAGCACCUGUCUAGCACCCUCGAAGGCUCCCCGGUUUCUCGGGGUGUGCAGCUAGAUUUCAAGCCCUGGUAAGGUUCCUCGCUUAGCAUCGAAUUAAACCACACGCUCCACCGCUUGUGCGGGCCCCCGUCUAUUCCUUUGAGUUUUAGCCUUGCGGCCGUACUACCCAGGCGGUCAACUUAACGCGUUAGCUACGACACUGAGAGGGUCGAUACUCCCAAUGCCUAGUUGACAUCGUUUACGGCGUGGACUA
Molecule: unclassified non-coding RNA, 360 nt
Filed under: uncultured bacterium
Lineage: Bacteria
Description: contains 16S-23S intergenic spacer region
Source: RNAcentral